GACGAACGCUGGCGGCGUGCCUAAUACAUGCAAGUAGAACGCUGAAGGAGGAGCUUGCUUCUCCGGAUGAGUUGCGAACGGGUGAGUAACGCGUAGGUAACCUGCCUGGUAGCGGGGGAUAACUAUUGGAAACGAUAGCUAAUACCGCAUAAGAGUAGAUGUCGCAUGACAUUUGCUUAAAAGGUGCAACUGCACCACUACCAGAUGGACCUGCGUUGUAUUAGCUAGUUGGUGAGGUAACGGCUCACCAAGGCAACGAUACAUAGCCGACCUGAGAGGGUGAUCGGCCACACUGGGACUGGGACACGGCCCAGACUCCUACGGGGGGCAGCAGUAGGGAAUCUUCGGCAAUGGACGGAAGUCUGACCGAGCAACGCCGCGUGAGUGAAGAAGGUUUUCGGAUCGUAAAGCUCUGUUGUAAGGGGAGAACGAGUGUGAGAGUGGAAAGUUCACGCUGUGACGGUAUCUUACCAGAAAGAGACGGCUAACUACGUG
Molecule: ribosomal RNA, 495 nt
Filed under: uncultured bacterium
Lineage: Bacteria
Description: partial 16S ribosomal RNA
Rfam family: Bacterial small subunit ribosomal RNA
Source: RNAcentral